Long non-coding RNA from Ipomoea triloba (trilobed morning glory), 486 nucleotides. RefSeq lists it as uncharacterized. Lineage: Eukaryota; Viridiplantae; Streptophyta; Magnoliopsida; Solanales; Convolvulaceae. The transcript is spliced from 2 exons. The record is from RefSeq and is a predicted model, not a curated record.
CACCUACAUACUAUUGCCCUACGGUCAUCGGACCAGAGUUCUGAAGAGAGUAUUCAGACGCUCAUCAACUAAGUCACUAGAGACAUUGCCUUACUUUUGAAGAGAGUAUUCAGACGCUCAUCGGACCAGAGUUCAACCCUAACAGCAGUCGGAGCUCUUAAUUGUGCAGAGGUUAGCUUUUCUGCUUUGAGAAGACAUGGUGAACAGAAAUGGAAGAGAGGCAAGAGUGGUGGUGGGAGAGCCUCCUGGAAGAGUGUCAGGGCCAACUAAAAUCUACGAGAAGAAGUGUUGCCACUGCUGAAAUCUUUAGGCUGAAUUCCAAAAUUGUUUUUUUUUUUAAUUUGUUACUCUUUUCUUCUUCUUUUUUUUUUUAUUUUUUUUUACAAAAUUUUGUAAUGAUUAUGAGGCAACUUGUUCCUAUUGUCUUUGUAAAGUAAACAUGUAUUUAGAUCAGUUAUGAAGUUAUAUAAAAUGGCAGUGGUUUGA